AUCUAGCUGACGGGUCCCAAAUCUGACGAAACGCGUGUCCUGGAU
Non-coding RNA from Schistosoma curassoni, 45 nucleotides. The record is from Rfam. NCBI's taxonomy places the organism in Eukaryota, Metazoa, Platyhelminthes, Trematoda, Strigeidida, Schistosomatidae.